AGAGUUUGAUCCUGGCUCAGAACGAACGCUGGCGGCACGCCUAACACAUGCAAGUCGAGCGCUUCACACUAACUUCGGUUGGAGUGAGGAGCGGCGGACGGGUUAGUAACGCGUGGGAACAUACCCUUUUCUACGGAAUAGCCUCGGGAAACUGAGAGUAAUACCGUAUACGCCCUUCGGGGGAAAGAUUUAUCGGUUAAGGAUUGGCCCGCGUAAGAUUAGAUAGUUGGUGGGGUAAUGGCCUACCAAGUCUACGAUCUUUAGCUGGUUUGAGAGGAUGAUCAGCAACACUGGGACUGAGACACGGCCCAGACUCCUACGGGAGGCAGCAGUGGGGAAUCUUGCGCAAUGGGCGAAAGCCUGACGCAGCAACGCCGCGUGGGGGAUGAAGGCUCUCGGGUCGUAAACCCCUUUCAGCAGGGACGAAAAUGACGGUACCUGCAGAAGAAGCCCCGGCCAACUACGUGCCAGCAGCCGCGGUAACACGUAGGGGGCAAGCGUUGUCCGGAUUUAUUGGGCGUAAAGGGCUCGUAGGCAGUUCAGUAAGUCAGGUGUGAAAACCCAAGGCUCAACCUUGGGACGCCACUUGAUACUGCUGUGACUAGAGUCCGGUAGAGGAGAUUGGAAUUCCUGGUGUAGCGGUGAAAUGCGCAGAUAUCAGGAGGAACACCAACGGCGAAGGCAGAUCUCUGGGCCGGU
Molecule: ribosomal RNA, 699 nt
Filed under: uncultured bacterium
Lineage: Bacteria
Description: bacterial SSU rRNA
Rfam family: Bacterial small subunit ribosomal RNA
Source: RNAcentral